GCAUAGCGACUAUCGUGGCAUAUCAAUAAGCGGAGGAAAAGAAACUAACAAGGAUUCCCUUAGUAACGGCGAGUGAAGCGGGAAGAGCUCAAAUUUGAAAUCUUCAAGGUUUUACCUUGACGAAUUGUAGUUUAAAGAAGUGUUUUCUGUUGGAGUUUCGGUAAAAGUUCUUUGGAAUAGGACAUCAUAGAGGGUGAGAAUCCCGUAUUUGACCGUUACUUUCCAGCUGUGUGAUACACUUUCAAAGAGUCGGAUUGUUAGGGAAUGCAGUCCAAAAUGGGUGGUAAAUUUCAUCUAAAGCUAAAUAUUGGCGAGAGACCGAUAGCGAACAAGUACCGUGAGGGAAAGAUGAAAAGAACUUUGAAAAGAGAGUUAAACAGUACGUGAAAUUGUCAAAAGGGAAGCGUUUGACACCAGUGUUGUUUAGUUGAAAAUCAAUUCAAUAAUUUUUGAUUUUGAGUAGUAUUGACCUCAUCAGCUUGCUGCUCUCUUUUCGGAAAUUAUUGAAUGCACUUUUCAGUUAACAAGUCAACAUCAAUUUCUUUUGUUGUAAAAGGGUAAGAGGAAGGUGGCUUACGUUUCGGCGUAAGUGUUUAUAGCCUUUUACCUCUGCAAUCGGAGAGAUUGAGGACAGCAGCGUAGAUCCUUCGGGGUUAGAUACACUUGUGCUAAGCUAUAGCCUUGUAUAGACAACUUGUUGACUAUGCUCAGUCAUGUAGCUUACUCGCAUUGUGCUAUUUUACCUACGCUUAGGAUGUUGAUAGUCACAGCGUGUAC
RNAcentral lists this ribosomal RNA (777 nucleotides) under uncultured Neocallimastigales. RNAcentral's name for it is "partial large subunit ribosomal RNA". It matches the Rfam family "Eukaryotic large subunit ribosomal RNA", at positions 19 to 642 of the family's 3401-position model. The record is from RNAcentral. Lineage: Eukaryota; Fungi; Neocallimastigomycota; Neocallimastigomycetes; Neocallimastigales.